RNAcentral lists this ribosomal RNA (301 nucleotides) under uncultured bacterium. RNAcentral describes it as "partial 16S ribosomal RNA". It matches the Rfam family "Bacterial small subunit ribosomal RNA", at positions 509 to 807 of the family's 1533-position model. The record is from RNAcentral.
CAGUAGCCGCGGUAAUACGUAGGGUGCAAGCGUUAAUCGGAAUUAUUGGGCGUAAAGCGAGUGCAGACGGUUACUUAAGCCAGAUGUGAAAUCCCCAAGCUUAACUUGGGACGUGCAUUUGAAACUGGGUGACUAGAGUGUGUCAGAGGGAGGUAGAAUUCCACAUGUAGCGGUGGAAUGCGUAGAGAUGUGGAGGAAUACCGAUGGCGAAGGCAGCCUCCUGGGAUAACACUGACGUUGAGGCUCGAAAGCGUGGGGAGCAAACAGGAUUAGAUACCCGCGUAGUCCCUGUCUCUUAUAC